This 253-nucleotide ribosomal RNA is filed under the name uncultured bacterium. RNAcentral describes it as "partial 16S ribosomal RNA". It matches the Rfam family "Bacterial small subunit ribosomal RNA", at positions 524 to 776 of the family's 1533-position model. The record is from RNAcentral.
UACGUAGGUGGCAAGCGUUGUCCGGAUUUAUUGGGUUUAAAGGGUGCGUAGGCGGUCUAUUAAGUCAGUGGUGAAAUACUCCAGCUUAACUGGAGGGGUGCCAUUGAUACUGAUGGACUUGAGUGAAGUCGAGGUAGGCGGAAUUGACGGUGUAGCGGUGAAAUGCUUAGAUAUGACACAGAACACCGAUUGCGAAGGCAGCUCACAAAACUAUAACUGACGCUGAGGCACGAAAGCGUGGGGAUCAAACAGG